This 482-nucleotide ribosomal RNA is filed under the name uncultured bacterium. RNAcentral's name for it is "partial 16S ribosomal RNA". It matches the Rfam family "Bacterial small subunit ribosomal RNA", at positions 28 to 507 of the family's 1533-position model. The record is from RNAcentral.
GACGAACGCUGGCGGCGUGCCUAACACAUGCAAGUCGAACGGAACUGUUUUGAAAGAUUUCUUCGGAAUGAAUUUGAUUUAGUUUAGUGGCGGACGGGUGAGUAACGCGUGAGUAACCUGCCUUCAAGAGGGGAAUAACAUUCUGAAAAGAAUGCUAAUACCGCAUGACAUAUCGGAACCACGUGGUUUUGAUAUCAAAGAUUUUAUCGCUUGAAGAUGGACUCGCGUCCGAUUAGUUAGUUGGUGAGGUAACGGCUCACCAAGACCGCGAUCGGUAGCCGGACUGAGAGGUUGAACGGCCACAUUGGGACUGAGACACGGCCCAGACUCCUACGGGAGGCAGCAGUGGGGGAUAUUGCGCAAUGGGGGCAACCCUGACGCAGCAACGCCGCGUGAAGGAUGAAGGUUUUCGGAUUGUAAACUUCUUUUAUUAAGGACGAAAAAUGACGGUACUUAAUGAAUAAGCUCCGGCUAACUACGUG